This 414-nucleotide ribosomal RNA is filed under the name Streptomyces marokkonensis. RNAcentral's name for it is "bacterial SSU rRNA". It matches the Rfam family "Bacterial small subunit ribosomal RNA", at positions 586 to 996 of the family's 1533-position model. The record is from RNAcentral. Lineage: Bacteria; Bacillati; Actinomycetota; Actinomycetes; Kitasatosporales; Streptomycetaceae.
CGUCGGUUGUGAAAGCCCGGGGCUUAACCCCGGGUCUGCAGUCGAUACGGGCAGGCUAGAGUUCGGUAGGGGAGAUCGGAAUUCCUGGUGUAGCGGUGAAAUGCGCAGAUAUCAGGAGGAACACCGGUGGCGAAGGCGGAUCUCUGGGCCGAUACUGACGCUGAGGAGCGAAAGCGUGGGGAGCGAACAGGAUUAGAUACCCUGGUAGUCCACGCCGUAAACGGUGGGCACUAGGUGUGGGCGACAUUCCACGUCGUCCGUGCCGCAGCUAACGCAUUAAGUGCCCCGCCUGGGGAGUACGGCCGCAAGGCUAAAACUCAAAGGAAUUGACGGGGGCCCGCACAAGCGGCGGAGCAUGUGGCUUAAUUCGACGCAACGCGAAGAACCUUACCAAGGCUUGACAUACACCGGAAA